This 460-nucleotide ribosomal RNA is filed under the name uncultured bacterium. RNAcentral describes it as "bacterial SSU rRNA". It matches the Rfam family "Bacterial small subunit ribosomal RNA", at positions 32 to 524 of the family's 1533-position model. The record is from RNAcentral.
AAUCAACGCUGGCGGCGCGCUUAACACAUGCAAGUCGAACGAGAAAGGGAGCAAUCCUGAGUAAAGUGGCGUACUGGUGAGUAACACGUGGAUAUCUACCUCUUGGUGGGGAAUAACCUGGGGAAACCUGGGCUAAUACCGCAUAAGUUCGUGAGAAGAAAGGCGCAAGUCGCCGAGAGAGGAGUCCGCGGUCGAUUAGGUAGUUGGCAGGGUAAAGCCUACCAAGCCGAAGAUCGAUAGCCGGCCUGAGAGGGCACACGGCCACACUGGCACUGAAACACGGGCCAGACUCCUACGGGAGGCAGCAGUGGGGAAUCUUGCACAAUGGGGGAAACCCUGAUGCAGCGACGCCGCGUGAGCGAUGAAGCCCUUCGGGGUGUAAAGCUCUUUUACCAGGGAUGAUAAUGACAGUACCUGGAGAAUAAGCUCCGGCUAACUCCGUGCCAGCAGCCGCGGUAAU